GAUGAACGCUAGCGGCAGGCUUAACACAUGCAAGUCGGAGGGGUAGUCAUCUUCGGAUGAUGAGACCGGCGCACGGGUGCGUAACGCGUAUACAAUCUACCUUUUACAGAGGGAUAGCCCAGAGAAAUUUGGAUUAAUACCUCAUAGUAUUUUUGAAUCGCAUGAUUUGAUUAUUAAAGUUCCAACGGUAAAGAUGAGUA
This 200-nucleotide ribosomal RNA is filed under the name uncultured bacterium. RNAcentral describes it as "partial 16S ribosomal RNA". It matches the Rfam family "Bacterial small subunit ribosomal RNA", at positions 28 to 231 of the family's 1533-position model. The record is from RNAcentral.